RNAcentral lists this unclassified non-coding RNA (337 nucleotides) under Athalia rosae (coleseed sawfly). RNAcentral's name for it is "misc RNA ENSAEAG00005005231.1". Lineage: Eukaryota; Metazoa; Arthropoda; Insecta; Hymenoptera; Athaliidae. The record is from RNAcentral.
GGAGAAAGUCCGAAAAUAGUUUUACCACUGAUAAGACCUUCGUAGUCGCCGCCACUGCCGCUGCUGCUGCUGCUGCUACUCUAUAGCCGAUAAUGCGAUGUCGCGGCGCGGCUCGUGCCUCGGUUGGCCACCACAGCCGCGAAGCCUGCACCCCGACUUCUAGACUCUUGGCCACGGAGACCCCGGACACCGGACGUGGAAAUAGCGGCGAGGGUGGUUCGCUCGAGAGUGAUAUAAAGGCGAGGUCAUUUCAGGAUUCGGAUUCCUGAGAUCAAAAUACGUAAGAAAAGCAUAUUAAACCCGAUCAAAAAAACGAUUUAUUCCCAAAAUAAUAAAA